This 237-nucleotide ribosomal RNA is filed under the name uncultured bacterium. RNAcentral's name for it is "partial 16S ribosomal RNA". It matches the Rfam family "Bacterial small subunit ribosomal RNA", at positions 83 to 334 of the family's 1533-position model. The record is from RNAcentral.
CCCGCAAGUAAAGUGGCGUACGGGUGAGUAACACGUGGGUGAUCUACCCUUUAGUGGGGAAUAACGCUGGGAAACCGGCGCUAAUACCGCAUAAUCUCGAGAGAGGAAAGCAGCAAUGCGCUGAAGGAGGAGCCCGCGGCCGAUUAGCUAGUUGGGAGGGUAAAAGCCUACCAAGGCAAAGAUCGGUAGCCGGCCUGAGAGGGCACACGGCCACACUGGCACUGAAACACGGGCCAG